CUCAACCAAAAAAAAUUUAAAAAAGAAAGACAAUGAUAAACUAGUUGGGAAAAGAUCCCAGAUAUCCAAAUUAAGUUCAAAAUUCAGGCACAUAAUUUUCUAUUACCAUGGCCGAGCUAUCAUAUAAAACACAUAAUUUAGACAAUUCAAAGCCAGAUACCUUAGAAAUAAAAGUUUGCUUAUCCUUCAGUUUAUGAAGCAAAAAGCGGUAGCGCGAGGUCAAAGCAAAUGCAACAAUAGUAAUAACAGAUUUAGUAGAAUAAGGGUGGCAGAGUGAUGAGCUCAUAUUUGCUACCUCAAGAUCCUUAAAUGAAAACUAAUCAAUUGAAACCAAGCAAAACACAAUACGAGAUUAGAAUCCAAAAGACAACAAAAAUCUGGGAUGAGUGGGAAAAUGCCAAAAAGAAAAGGGAAGAAACUCAUGAAACCAAGUUCAAAUACAAACAGUAUUAUCACAAAAUUCAGAAACAGCUCGGCACAUGCACUAGAGAGCGCUAUAAAAAGAGAGACAUGAAGAUUGAACCCAGUAAAGGCAAA
This 537-nucleotide unclassified non-coding RNA is filed under the name Hevea brasiliensis (rubber tree). Lineage: Eukaryota; Viridiplantae; Streptophyta; Magnoliopsida; Malpighiales; Euphorbiaceae. The record is from RNAcentral.